Molecule: long non-coding RNA, 467 nt
Organism: Elgaria multicarinata webbii
Lineage: Eukaryota; Metazoa; Chordata; Lepidosauria; Squamata; Anguidae
Exons: 3
Source: RefSeq, a predicted model, not a curated record
CCUGUGGAUCUGUGUACCCAGAGCGAAGGCAACAGCUGCGGAGCUGGGAAAUGGGCAGGAAGUCUUCAGUCCUGACAUUUUAAAGUUUAAAAGAUUUCAGAACUAAAGAGCAAGACCACACAUUCUUCUAAGAACUAAAAGAACAUUGAAAAAUGAAAGAAAACCUACAAAUAAUGGGUGAGAAAAUUUCCUGCAGGGGGAAACAGCCUUACUGCACAGGUCAGAUGUUCACCACUUUUAUUUUUAAUCCGAGGAUUUCAGAACUGGAGUGCUAAAUGCUCUUCUAAGAUCUAAAAGAACGUUAGAAAAGGAAAGUUACUAGGAUACAACUACAAGCAAAAUGAAAUUGUGUUGCCAAAACAUGGAGAGUUGGAUUCAGAUUUACGCUGGAUGAACUGCACUGGCAGAAGCGGACUUCCCUGCCCCUCCUUCCCAAGCCAUCCUCCCCACAGAGAAUCAGGAGACCU